CCGCAGUACUGGGGGAUGUGUUGGUUCCUUGUAAUGCUCACAUAAUUCUUCCCUUUAAUGUUUCUCCAGUCCCAAGAAAGAGGAAGGUCAGACACAUUGAGACGCUCAUGUGGCCGGACCCCAGUCCUAAAACGUGCAGGUAUGAACGUAACCCAAAUUGGAGCAAUGGGGUCACAAGACGACGCUGUGCUUCACCUUUAGAAGACACUGUGAAGCCCACUCAAGCAAAGGCACCUUUGGAGUGUAUGGAAAGUGAAUCCAUACCAACAGCAUAGAAACUACAGAGAAACCAUCAGAAACUCAGAAUGUAAUAAACACAGACUCUGCUCAGG
Molecule: long non-coding RNA, 332 nt
Organism: Betta splendens (Siamese fighting fish)
Lineage: Eukaryota; Metazoa; Chordata; Actinopteri; Anabantiformes; Osphronemidae
Exons: 3
Source: RefSeq, a predicted model, not a curated record